UUGCGGUUAAAAAGCUCGUAGUUGGAUUUCUGUUGAGGACGGCCGGUCCGCACUAUGUGCGUGUAUCUGGUUCGGCCUCGGCAUCCUCUUGAGGAACGUUUCUGCGCUUGAUUGCGCGGAGCGGUAUUCAAGACUUUUACUUUGAGGAAAUUAGAGUGUUCACGGCAGGCAAGCGCCUUGAAUAUGUUAGCAUGGAAUAAUAAUAUAGGAUCUUGGUUCUAUUUGUUGGUUUCUAGGGCUAAGGUAAUGAUUAAUAGGGAUAAUUGGGGGCAUUUGUAUUAACGCGUCAGAGGUGGAAUUCUUGGAUUGCGUUACGACAAACUACUGCGAAAGCAUUUGCCAAGGAUGUUUUCAUUGAUCAAGAACGAAAGUAUGGGGAUCGAAGAUGAUUAGAUACCGUCGUAGUCUAUACCAUAAACUAUGCCGACUAGGGAUUGGAGGUCGUUCUUUUUAUGACUCCUUCAGCACCUUAUGAGAAAUCAAAGUCUUUGGGUUCCGGGGGGAGUAUAGUCGCAAGGCUGAAACUUAAAGGAAUUGACGGAAGGGCACCACCAGGAGUGGAGCCUGCGGCUUAAUUUGACUCA
Molecule: ribosomal RNA, 584 nt
Filed under: uncultured marine eukaryote
Lineage: Eukaryota
Description: SSU rRNA
Rfam family: Eukaryotic small subunit ribosomal RNA
Source: RNAcentral